This 503-nucleotide long non-coding RNA is filed under the name Bos taurus (domestic cattle). Its description in RNAcentral is "long non-coding RNA NONBTAT000158". Lineage: Eukaryota; Metazoa; Chordata; Mammalia; Artiodactyla; Bovidae. The record is from RNAcentral.
CUAACACAUUUGACUGCCGAUGUUUCUCAGUUGUAGCUUCCAAGAGCUCUCUCUGUUUUUCCUAGCCCACUUGAUACCCUGCAGGUUGUGGCAGACAAUUCACAGGAAAAGCUUAGACAUCAGGCUUGCACGCUUCUUGACUCCAUUUUAAACCUUUUGUUCACACCAGGGUGGCAUUUUUUCACACUGCAUGUGGCAGUUUUGACUCCUAUCCAACUUGUCUUAUAAAAUCAAAGUCUGUGAUUUUUUUUUUUUGCAUUCACAGGGCUGCUUCCUGAACUGCUACUGCUGUUUGUGUCUUUCCUAGUGAUUGGUUCAGAAGUUUAUAGCAAAAUGUGUUUUAGGGAGGGGGAGGAAGAAGACAGCGAUAUGAAAAAUGUCCUGGCCUAAAACACAGGAAAUACAUUUUGAGUAAGAGGUUGACUCUGCAGAGAUUGUACAUGAAAAUCAAAUACACUUCCCACUAUUUUAAUUAUUUUUGUGCAGUACUCUGUUGAAUAUAC